RNAcentral lists this ribosomal RNA (595 nucleotides) under uncultured bacterium. RNAcentral's name for it is "bacterial SSU rRNA". It matches the Rfam family "Bacterial small subunit ribosomal RNA", at positions 338 to 945 of the family's 1533-position model. The record is from RNAcentral.
CCUACGGGAGGCAGCAGUGGGGAAUAUUGGGCAAUGGAGGAAACUCUGACCCAGCGACGCCGCGUGCGGGAUGAAGGCCUUCGGGUUGUAAACCGCUUUCAGUAGGGAAGAAGCGAAAGUGACGGUACCUACAGAAGAAGCACCGGCUAACUAUGUGCCAGCAGCCGCGGUAAUACAUAGGGUGCAAGCGUUGUCCGGAAUUAUUGGGCGUAAAGAGCUCGUAGGUGGUUCGUCACGUCGGAUGUGAAAAUCUGGGGCUCAACCCCAGACCUGCAUUCGAUACGGGCGAUCUAGAGUGUGGUAGGGGAGACUGGAAUUCCUGGUGUAGCGGUGGAAUGCGCAGAUAUCAGGAGGAACACCAAUGGCGAAGGCAGGUCUCUGGGCCAUUACUGACACUGAGGAGCGAAAGCGUGGGGAGCGAACAGGAUUAGAUACCCUGGUAGUCCACGCCGUAAACGGUGGGCACUAGUUGUGGGAACCUUCCACGGUUUCUGCGACGCAGCUAACGCAUUAAGUGCCCCGCCUGGGGAGUACGAUCGCAAGNUUAAAACUUAAGGAAUUGACGGNNGAGAGNGCGAGACGACGACGAGGAGAG